This 416-nucleotide long non-coding RNA is filed under the name Paramuricea clavata. Lineage: Eukaryota; Metazoa; Cnidaria; Anthozoa; Malacalcyonacea; Plexauridae. The record is from RNAcentral.
GUUGGACAAUCGAUUGUUAAUUGCAUCAGGAAUUGCCUUUAAAACCGCGGGUGGGUGAUUACUCUGACGAUGGACAUAUUGAAGCGUAUUUCCCGGUUUCAUGUACGGUUUAAACGAGGAAUUUCUUAGGUCAAAUGUGACAUCUAGGUAAUUGACACAUUUUUUGUUAGCUUCGAUUGUAAUCUUUAAAUUAUAUUCAUUAAAAGUUCUGCAAAAUUGCUUCUUGAUAUUUUCUAUUGCUCUCGGUUGUUUGUCAAACGCUGCAAGGCCAUCGAUCAUCUCUGUAGAGACCAAUAUCAUUUCGAUAUUCUGGAGGAAGUUUGGAUAGUAAGAAUAAACCAACUAGCUAGCUCGCAUGUUUCCGCACCAUCAAAACUGCCCAUCGUUACAUCAAAGAGGUUAUUUGACUCUUUCUU